CACGGGCACGUCCCCGCGGCCAGGCCCGCCCCGUGGCUGCCGGUCGCCACGGUAACCGCUCACGGCGCGGUGCCGGCGGGGUGCGCUCCCAAAUGGCUUCCGGCCGGCCCCUCGACUGCCUCUACGACCCUCUGUACACGCUGUCGAGUGAGAAGGACCAUAUGAAGGCAAAUAUCCAACUUGUCGGUGAUAAAUUGGUCAAGGUACCAAUUUUCACAAGUAUGUUUAGUAGCUUGAUCCAUUUCCCGAGCUACAGUCUGUGCUUGGACGGCAAAGAUCCAGUGCCUCCAUUUAUUGACCGAAGAUGGAGAGGGAGGGCUCAGCAGCGCCUGGAGGCUCUUCAGCAGCUUGCUGUAGGUCAACCUUCUCUUCAGAUACCCCAAAUCGUGUAUGAAGAUCCUGAAGUUAGUGGAAGGAAUCGUUACAAAUAUUUUGCACGACCUCUCAUCCCUUCUAAUAUGCUGCUUCCACCAAAUGUUCAUUAUGCAAUAGAAAUGACAGAGCCCUUUAUCCUUUCAGCUGCAAGAGACAGCAAGAUCUUUGGUCCCAAGUUACGAACUUUGGGCACACAGACAGAUUACAGGGAUGGUGAAGCCCAAACAGAUCCCUAUUCCCCUGAGUAUGUAGUUCCCAGUGGCUCAGUCCCUGAACUUCUGACACUUGCUACUCUCACUUGGGGUCGGGGGCUACCAGCGGGACUAGCCGAGGUGGAGAUGAUUGAACGUGCCCGGGAAAAACGUGCGUGGGAAGCAACUCUUCCAGCCAUGGACAAUGCCUCACAAAUUGCGAAGAGGAGGAAAAUGAUGGAUGAUAUGGAGAGGAAGGAGUGGGCCUUUAGAGAACAGGAAAUAGAAAAGUUGCAGGAGAUCCGACUGAGAGUCUUAAAGAAGCUGCUGGAGAGGCAACAGGAGAAACAGAAUGAGCUGGAUGCCAAGCGCUUGGAUGACCACUGGCAAAAUCAUCAGAAGGCUAAAAAAGAUAAAAUGAAAAAGAUUCAGCAUGACUUUGUACUGAUGCUCAGAAAACUGAUAGCUAAGAGGAAGAAUGUGUUGGGGAAACUGGAGAGACGAGAUAUCAUCAAAGAGUAUACUGACUUUGCAUCACAAACAUAUGCUCCUUUAUCUAGGAUUGGUUAUUUCCCAGACAACCAUUCCGAACGCUUUGUUGUAAAAAACUUCUAUCUUAACACCUUUGCAGGACUGUGUGAACUGGAAGCAGCUCUCCCACAUUCCGUCACCCAGGCUGAGAUUAAAGCUCCAAAGCCUAAGUACACUACUACUAAGACUGGAUUUAUUAAAAGAUCAGCAAGACUAGAGGUGGAGCUGGCACUGGUUCACCAGGCACUAUUGGAGAAGAAGAAUAAAGUCAAAGAGCCAAAGAAGCCCCCUCGCUUCCUUGAAAAAAUAGAAAAGCCUGUUCCUCGCCCUCCCACUCCAAUUCUGGAAAAACCAUCAGUUAAGGAAGAGGAAAUAGAACUGGCAGUGAUCUGUCUGCAGAAGUUGCUCCGAGGAAGGGCUGUUCAGAACUUGAUGUUUGAAGAGAAGGAGAAGCGGAUGGAACUGAUCCAAGAGCUGCGCACCACUCACGCACUCCAGGAAGAUGGACAGCUGCUUCUGAAAGCAGAGGAGCAAAUGAUACGGGCCUUACAGCAGCAGCGUGACUUGCAAAUGCACGAGCUGUCAUCAACGGAAAGCCGCUUGGCCCAGGAAGAAGGAAGGGCACUGGGAAACCUGUUUGAUUUCCUGUCCAAAGAGCUGUUGAGGCUGCAGGAAGAGCGGAAGAUCCACGCUUUUGUCAUGCUGGCUGAGAGGCAGAGGCGGAUGCGGGAGGCGGAAGAGAGCGGACGCCGUCAGGUGGAAGAGAGACGUCGGCAGGAGGAAGAUGAGAUUUUCAGACAGGUGGUGAAGGUGCAGCAGAGCACUAUUGACUCCUACUUGGAAGACAUUAUCCUGAGUACCAUGGAGAACACAGCUGAAGAACAAGCCAGGGAAGAGAUUCAGAGAAUGGCCGUAGAAAUCAAUGACAUUGCUUAUGAAAUGGAAAGUCGUCGAACUCACCUACAGUCAGAAGAAAUUGUAGCAGAGCUGGUUUAUGCUUUCCUGAUCCCAGAGAUUGAGAAAACUUCUAUCAGAGAAAAAGUGAGGCAGUCCCAGAGAAAGCACAUCUAUGCUGCUCAUCAGAUUAUCCACAGAAGCAUAGAAGAGUUAUUGGCUGAUCCAGCACUACAUCAGGAGACGUCUGCCAGCAGGAUAGAGGGAGAUCCUCCAGCUGGGACAGGUGGUGGUCUGAGCCCUUCUGAUGGGUCAGACAAGGAUGGCCCAGCCUCCUAGAGACACGUGAGCAAGGGCAUCCAGAAUGCAAAAGCACCUCUCUCCCCUUUAGUCUGUCCCUCCUGCUGCCCACCAGCAAUAUUGUCCUGGAACCACGCUCUGUACAUUUCAGUGUGGCAGCCCCAGUCCAAGCCCAGCCCCCCAACUAGCUCUGGACCUCAUAAGCUAAUUUUCCUCUUCUAAUUAUUAAGAGAAGCUUGAGUGAGAGACCAGUGUUAGCACUCCUUGUUUGUCUUCCUGCCACAGGCCAACAGAGAUCUGCACCCGAGCUUUUGAUGGGGGCUAUGCAGAGAGGAUGCUGGCUUUGCCUUGUUUGCAAGCACGGGGGUGCUCCAGCUCAGGAUGUCAGAAACCAGCAGGCUGCAGACAAGCGCAGUGCAUCUGAUCAGAGAGCUGUCAGGGACUUGCUCAGCUCUCAAGCACUCACCUGUCAAAAUUCCUCAGGUCUGUGGGUUUAGCCUCUCAAAGGUACAUUUACGCCAAUACCAACAUCAAAUGCACCAGUUUUUGGAGGGGCAGGCAUCGCCACAACUAAACACCCCGAAUGCUUACUCACUGAUGCUCCAGCUACAACUCAUGCAAUAAAUAGCAGUGUUAGCUCUCAGUGCUAACGUGAUAAUGGGCUGAUAUCUGUGCAAUUCCAUCAUUUCUCUGAAACUGA
RNA transcript from Oxyura jamaicensis (ruddy duck), 2991 nucleotides. It is a transcript of the gene named cilia and flagella associated protein 91, with no coding region annotated. The record is from RefSeq and is a predicted model, not a curated record. NCBI's taxonomy places the organism in Eukaryota, Metazoa, Chordata, Aves, Anseriformes, Anatidae. The transcript has 19 exons.